GGAUGAACGCUGGCGGCGUGCCUAACACAUGCAAGUCGAACGGAGAUUACGGACGGAAGUUUUCGGAUGGAAGCCUGUAAUUCUUAGUGGCGGACGGGUGAGUAACGCGUGGGCAACCUGCCCUAUACAGGGGGAUAGCAGCUGGAAACGGCUGGUAAGACCGCAUAAGUCGGUUAAAUCGCAUGAUUUGAUCGGGAAAUGAGCAAUCAGGUAUAGGAUGGGCCCGCGUCCGAUUAGCCAGUUGGCAGGGUAAAAGCCUACCAAAGCGACGAUCGGUAGCCGGACUGAGAGGGCGGACGGGCACAUUGGGACUGAGACACGGCCCAAACUCCUACGGGAGGCAGCAGUGGGGGAUAUUGCACAAUGGAGGAAACUCUGAUGCAGCGACGCCGCGUGAGUGAAGAAGUAUUUCGGUAUGUAAAGCUCUAUCAGCAGGGAAGAUGAUGACGGUACCUGACUAAGAAGCCCCGGCUAACUACGUG
RNAcentral lists this ribosomal RNA (482 nucleotides) under uncultured bacterium. RNAcentral's name for it is "partial 16S ribosomal RNA". It matches the Rfam family "Bacterial small subunit ribosomal RNA", at positions 27 to 507 of the family's 1533-position model. The record is from RNAcentral.